UUAACUCAUAUUUGCAUGGAGUUGGAACGUUUGCCGCUAGGGACGCUGUUCCAACUGCAUACAAAUUUGAGUUA
Molecule: microRNA precursor, 74 nt
Filed under: Bombyx mori (domestic silkworm)
Lineage: Eukaryota; Metazoa; Arthropoda; Insecta; Lepidoptera; Bombycidae
Description: mir-2807 microRNA precursor family
Rfam family: mir-2807 microRNA precursor family
Source: Rfam by way of RNAcentral